RNAcentral lists this ribosomal RNA (445 nucleotides) under uncultured bacterium. RNAcentral describes it as "partial 16S ribosomal RNA". It matches the Rfam family "Bacterial small subunit ribosomal RNA", at positions 354 to 796 of the family's 1533-position model. The record is from RNAcentral.
GUGAGGAAUAUUGGACAAUGGAUGGAAAUCUGAUCCAGCCAUGCCGCGUGCAGGAAGACGGCCCUAUGGGUUGUAAACUGCUUUUAUACGGGAGCAAUAAGGUCUAUGCAUAGAUUGAUGAGAGUACCGUAUGAAUAAGCAUCGGCUAACUCCGUGCCAGCAGCCGCGGUAAUACGGAGGAUGCGAGCGUUAUCCGGAUUUAUUGGGUUGAAAGGGUGCGUAGGCGGCUUUGUAAGUCAGCGGUGAAAUUUUGCAGCUUAACUGUAAAAGCGCCGUUGAUACUGUGAAGCUAGGAUUUGGUUGCUGUGGGCGGAAUGUGUGGUGUAGCGGUGAAAUGCAUAGAGAUCACACAGAAUAUCGAUUGCGAAGGCAGCUCACAAAGCCAAUAUUGACGCUGAGGCACGAAAGUGUGGGGAUCAAACAGGAUUAGAUACCCGGGUAGUCC